Molecule: long non-coding RNA, 593 nt
Filed under: Dermacentor andersoni
Lineage: Eukaryota; Metazoa; Arthropoda; Arachnida; Ixodida; Ixodidae
Description: uncharacterized LOC126529607
Source: RNAcentral
GUUCGCGUGGUCUUGUUACGCCUCGCUGGAUCGUGUUCAGUCAUGCCGUCCUUGCGCGGCGUGAUUGUCGUGCGGCUGGCGUGAGCUGUCUCCACGAUGCGCUUCGAGCGUGUCGAUUUCGCCGUUCUUUAUGUUGGCGUUAACGACCUUGAAAGCAACAUGGAUCCACAAGAAAUGUGCGACAACAUCAAGGUAAGUCUACUGAAAUCACAAAAUUUGAAACAAUAAGCGCUAAUAGUUGUGUUUUCUUUUAAAUUUUAGGCCUUGAUUGUUCAACGAGACGGCCCCCGUCGUGCUGGUUUUCAAGGUGCUCCCUCGCUGCCUAGAUGCUGAUGCGGAAUAGAAAAUGCAAGAACGUCGCUUGCUCAACCGCAAAUUGACGGUUACGCUGAAGCGCAUGUCGUGUCUGCGGAAUUUGAACCCCGAGCUUUCCAGAGUUCCUUGGAAAAUCCCCCCAUGCACCUGCCAUGUACAUUGCCCUCCUCCUCGAUGUGGUGUGCAAGAUGGCAGCAGCAGCUGUGGGAACCGUUGAAGAGGCGAAGAAAGGUCCACUUUAUAAUAGGUUGUAUGUAAAUAAAACUGAUCGACCUCAA